This 335-nucleotide unclassified non-coding RNA is filed under the name uncultured fungus. RNAcentral's name for it is "partial contains 5.8S ribosomal RNA and internal transcribed spacer 2". The stretch from base 1 to 133 matches the Rfam family "5.8S ribosomal RNA", at positions 22 to 154 of the family's 154-position model. Lineage: Eukaryota; Fungi. The record is from RNAcentral.
UGGUUCUGGCAUCGAUGAAGAACGCAGCGAAAUGCGAUAAGUAAUGCGAAUUGCAGAAUUCAGUGAGUCAUCGAAUCUUUGAACGCACAUUGCGCCCUUUGGCAUUCCGAAGGGCAUGCCUGUUCGAGCGUCAUUAUCAACCCUCAAGCCUGGCUUGGUGUUGGACCUCCAGGCGGCGGCCUCGCGUCGUCGCCGGUCCCAAAGACAAUGACGGCGUCCGGCGGACCCUCGGUACACGGAGCUUACUUUCAAGCACGUACCGCAGCGGCCGCGGGACACGGUCUCCCUCUCUUUUACGAACGGUUGACCUCGGAUCAGGUAGGAAUACCCGCUGA